Molecule: unclassified non-coding RNA, 359 nt
Filed under: uncultured fungus
Lineage: Eukaryota; Fungi
Description: partial contains small subunit ribosomal RNA, internal transcribed spacer 1, and 5.8S ribosomal RNA
Rfam family: Eukaryotic small subunit ribosomal RNA (bases 1-73)
Source: RNAcentral
ACAAACUUGGUCAUUUAGAGGAAGUAAAAGUCGUAACAAGGUCUCCGUAGGUGAACCUGCGGAGGGAUCAUUAUAGAAAACUUCUAAUGGCCAAGGGGGGGAGAGGGGGGGUUUUGUGGCUUAAUAUGCUCUCUUCUCUUCUCUUCUCUUCCUUGGACAAACAACCAACACACAUGACUAGGAAAAACAGCGCAGCGCAGCAGUGUAGACUGGAGGAAUGACUUGGCUGGGAUCCUCGCAGCACGCACAACCCGCAAAAGUUCUUGUCUGAUAAGUAGCUUGCUGAUUUGGAGUUACUACAAUUCAAUACAACUUUCAACAACGGAUCUCUUGGCUCUCACAUCGAUGAAGAACGCAGC